UACGUAGGGUGCGAGCGUUGUCCGGAAUUAUUGGGCGUAAAGAGCUUGUAGGCGGUUUGUCGCGUCUGCUGUGAAAAUCCGGGGCUCAACCCCGGACUUGCAGUGGGUACGGGCAGACUAGAGUGUGGUAGGGGAGACUGGAAUUCCUGGUGUAGCGGUGAAAUGCGCAGAUAUCAGGAGGAACACCGAUGGCGAAGGCAGGUCUCUGGGCCACUACUGACGCUGGAG
RNAcentral lists this ribosomal RNA (228 nucleotides) under uncultured bacterium. RNAcentral's name for it is "partial 16S ribosomal RNA". It matches the Rfam family "Bacterial small subunit ribosomal RNA", at positions 524 to 751 of the family's 1533-position model. The record is from RNAcentral.